GGCGCCAUGCCAACGACGUUUCGGCGGCACGUGGACUUGUGAAAAGCUGAGCGUUCAGAGCCUCCCUCUGCAAGACUCGUUCUGGAGAAGACGUCAUGAAAUGCGGUUGCAGUCCUAUUAGUGUUCUGUCGGACUACUUAUCAUCACAGAGUUUAUUGUGAUUGGCUUUCCCACCCACCUACUCCCAUGAUCGGCCUAAUAAUUAAAGCUAUCCUGCAACUGCCGCCGUACUGCAGAGCUACGGGUGCAUCAGGGGCCCGUGACAUGAUACAGAGAGACAGCUUAACUAUUAAAUAUCCAUCACGCCACGCCACAUCAGUCCUAAUGCAAUCAGAAACACAUGACUACAUCGCCCGGGCCCCCACUUCAAUCCACAAUGAUUAAAUGCAGCAGCUGUACUUCUGACUGCACAAGCAGGAAUCCAUCCGCUCACACCUCCAAACCUAAACUACACCGACAGGAACAGUUGCUUUAUGCCCCUCUUAAUCAGCAGGACUAGAAUUGAAGAUGACUUCAAAGAGAUAUGAUGUCCUUUAUUCUGUAAUUCUUUUCCAUUUGUACACAUCUUCGACAAUGAUUUACUGCCAUGUUGGAUUUGUGUGUAUGUGUGUUUCACUGCUUCUAUUCUGAGAUUGCACAGCUGGUGUCAGUAUUUCAAACAGCAUGUUUCUGUUGUCUUUGUUUUUUCUUGGCUUUCUGUACAAUUUGGGGUGACCAGCUGUGGUGAUUGCCUUUCCUUCCUUGGCUUUUCCUUGUGUGUAAUUUAAACUUGGCUUGCAGUGACAGUGGUGUUUGAAAAGGCCUUGGAAAGGACCUGAAAUAGACAACUAAAAGCAACAUGUCAGCACGUGAGAGAAUGUCUCAUGGAGAUCUCCACUGGAAACUAAACUGACCUAGGCUAGAUUAAAGGGUAUGUUCUCCUGGGUCUUGCAUGUCACUGAGCUUUUCUCGAUGUAUUUUGCUGUGUAUGCGCGUGUAACUGUGUAACACAUGCAUACGUUUUUCACCUGCAGUUUCCUGUGUGCAAAAAAAAAAUCUGUGUGUAGUUAAAUCUUCAAUUAAUUUGUGUUUUAAGCACAUUGUACUUAUUUUUUGAUGUAAGUACAUAGUAGUCAAAGCAAUAUUUCAAAUGAAAAUGCUGUGAUCAUUUACGCACCCUCAAGUAGUUCCAUAUGAAUUUCUAUGUUCUGCUGAACGCAAAGUAAGAUAUUUUGAAAAAAGUUUGUAUCCAGGCUGCUUUGGGUUCACCAUUGGCUUCCAUACUCAAGUGUGAAUAGUUUUUGGUGAACUAUUUCUUUAAAUUUUCCCUACUAUCAAGAUCCAAAAUGUAUUUGAUUAAUUUGAUCAAAAAUACAGUACAGAGGGUAAUAUUCUGAAUAUCCCAUUAUUUUUUUCAUAAAUAUGUGUUUCAGUUAAUUAGUGAUGUUAAAAAAUAUUUUUUUAUGAAAUAAAGCAAGGUAAUUUAGAUGUAACUGUUUUCAGGUUAGCUUUU
Puntigrus tetrazona (Sumatra barb) is the source of this 1492-nucleotide long non-coding RNA. RefSeq lists it as uncharacterized. The transcript has 4 exons. The record is from RefSeq and is a predicted model, not a curated record. NCBI's taxonomy places the organism in Eukaryota, Metazoa, Chordata, Actinopteri, Cypriniformes, Cyprinidae.